UACGGAGGGUGCAAGCGUUGUCCGGAUUUAUUGGGUUUAAAGGGUGCGUAGGCGGGCUAUUAAGUCAGUGGUGAAAUACUACGGCUCAACUGUAGAAUUGCCAUUGAUACUGAUGGUCUUGAAUGUACGCGAGGUGGUUGGAAUAUGUGGUGUAGCGGUGAAAUGCUUAGAUAUCACAUAGAACGCCGAUUGCGAAGGCAGAUCACUGGUGUACAAUUGACGCUGAGGCACGAAAGCGUGGGGAGCGAACAGG
This 253-nucleotide ribosomal RNA is filed under the name uncultured bacterium. RNAcentral describes it as "partial 16S ribosomal RNA". It matches the Rfam family "Bacterial small subunit ribosomal RNA", at positions 524 to 776 of the family's 1533-position model. The record is from RNAcentral.